This 465-nucleotide ribosomal RNA is filed under the name uncultured bacterium. Its description in RNAcentral is "partial 16S ribosomal RNA". It matches the Rfam family "Bacterial small subunit ribosomal RNA", at positions 28 to 507 of the family's 1533-position model. The record is from RNAcentral.
GACGAACGCUGGCGGCGUGCUUAACACAUGCAAGUCGAACGGAAAGGCCCUGCUUGCAGGGUACUCGAGUGGCGAACGGGUGAGUAACACGUGGGUGAUCUGCCCUGCACUUCGGGAUAAGCUUGGGAAACUGGGUCUAAUACCGGAUAGGACCGCACUUUAGUGUGUGUGGUGGAAAGUUUUUUCGGUGUAGGAUGAGCUCGCGGCCUAUCAGCUUGUUGGUGGGGUAAUGGCCUACCAAGGCGGCGACGGGUAGCCGGCCUGAGAGGGUGUACGGCCACAUUGGGACUGAGAUACGGCCCAGACUCCUACGGGAGGCAGCAGUGGGGAAUAUUGCACAAUGGGCGCAAGCCUGAUGCAGCGACGCCGCGUGGGGGAUGAAGGCCUUCGGGUUGUAAACUCCUUUCGCUAGGGACGAAGCUCUUUGUGACGGUACCUAGAUAAGAAGCACCGGCUAACUACGUG